ACCCCUUUCCCAUUUCAUAUUGCCGGUUCUCAAAAUCUCAUCUUCAGUCCCCUCCAUCACCAUGACUGAAAUCUUGUGCCCUCAUCAUUUUCUCUGCUCUCAUCUUCCUCCUCUACUUCUUCUUCUUCUUUUUCAUUCUCUCUCUAACUUUCUUCUUUGUGCUUUCAAAAACUAUGCAAGAUCUUCUUUCCUUCAUCUUUUCAUGCUCCUGCAUUGCAUUUUGAAUUGAG
This 230-nucleotide long non-coding RNA is filed under the name Manihot esculenta (cassava). Its description in RNAcentral is "long non-coding RNA (MESC_LNC007053)". The record is from RNAcentral. Lineage: Eukaryota; Viridiplantae; Streptophyta; Magnoliopsida; Malpighiales; Euphorbiaceae.